RNAcentral lists this ribosomal RNA (995 nucleotides) under uncultured organism. Its description in RNAcentral is "bacterial SSU rRNA". It matches the Rfam family "Bacterial small subunit ribosomal RNA", at positions 356 to 1376 of the family's 1533-position model. The record is from RNAcentral.
GGGGAAUAUUGCACAAUGGGGGAAACCCUGAUGCAGCGACGCCGCGUGGAGGAAGAAGGUCUUCGGAUUGUAAACUCCUGUUGUUGAGGAAGAUAAUGACGGUACUCAACAAGGAAGUGACGGCUAACUACGUGCCAGCAGCCGCGGUAAAACGUAGGUCACAAGCGUUGUCCGGAAUUACUGGGUGUAAAGGGAGCGCAGGCGGGCGAUCAAGUUGGAAGUGAAAUCCAUGGGCUCAACCCAUGAACUGCUUUCAAAACUGGUCGUCUUGAGUAGUGCAGAGGUAGGCGGAAUUCCCGGUGUAGCGGUGGAAUGCGUAGAUAUCGGGAGGAACACCAGUGGCGAAGGCGGCCUACUGGGCACCAACUGACGCUGAGGCUCGAAAGUGUGGGUAGCAAACAGGAUUAGAUACCCUGGUAGUCCACACCGUAAACGAUGAUUACUAGGUGUUGGGAGAUUGACCCUCUCAGUGCCGCAGUUAACACAAUAAGUAAUCCACCUGGGGAGUACGACCGCAAGGUUGAAACUCAAAGGAAUUGACGGGGGCCCGUACAAGCAGUGGAGUAUGUGGUUUAAUUCGACGCAACGCGAAGAACCUUACCAAGUCUUGACAUCCUCUGACGAACGUAGAAAUACGUUUUCUCUUCGGAGCAGAGAGACAGGUGGUGCAUGGUUGUCGUCAGCUCGUGUCGUGAGAUGUUGGGUUAAGUCCCGCAACGAGCGCAACCCUUAUGGUCAGUUACUACGCAAGAGGACUCUGGCCAGACUGCCGUUGACAAAACGGAGGAAGGUGGGGAUGACGUCAAAUCAUCAUGCCCUUUAUGACUUGGGCUACACACGUACUACAAUGGCGUUAAACAAAGAGAGGCAAGACCGCGAGGUGGAGCAAAACUCAGAAACAACGUCCCAGUUCGGACUGCAGGCUGCAACUCGCCUGCACGAAGUCGGAAUUGCUAGUAAUCGUGGAUCAGCAUGCCACGGUGAAUACGUUCCCG